CGCGGCCUAUCAGCUUGUUGGCGGGGUAACGGCCCACCAAGGCUACGACGGGUAGCUGGUCUGAGAGGAUGGCCAGCCACAUUGGGACUGAGACACGGCCCAGACUCCUACGGGAGGCAGCAGUGGGGAAUAUUGCGCAAUGGCCGCAAGGCUGACGCAGCGACGCCGCGUGUGGGAUGACGGCCUUCGGGUUGUAAACCACUGUCGGGAGGGACGAAUACAGGGCUUCGAAUAGGGGACCCUGGGUGACGGUACCUCCAAAGGAAGCACCGGCUAACUCCGUGCCAGCAGCCGCGGUAAUACGGAGGGUGCGAGCGUUGUCCGGAAUCACUGGGCGUAAAGGGCGCGUAGGCGGCUCGUUAAGUUGCCGGUGAAAUCCCGGGGCUCAACUCCGGGGGGUCUGGUAAGACUGGCGGGCUCGAGCACGGUAGAGGCAGAUGGAAUUCCCGGUGUAGCGGUGGAAUGCGUAGAGAUCGGGAAGAACACCAGUGGCGAAGGCGGUCUGCUGGGCCGUUGCUGACGCUGAGGCGCGACAGCGUGGGGAGCAAGCAGGAUUAGAUACCCUGGUAGUCCACGCCGUAAACGAUGGACACUAGGCGUCGGGGGGAGCGACCCCCUCGGUGCCGUCGCUAACGCAGUAAGUGCCCCGCCUGGGGAGUACGG
This 663-nucleotide ribosomal RNA is filed under the name uncultured actinomycete. RNAcentral's name for it is "bacterial SSU rRNA". It matches the Rfam family "Bacterial small subunit ribosomal RNA", at positions 232 to 885 of the family's 1533-position model. The record is from RNAcentral. Lineage: Bacteria; Bacillati; Actinomycetota; Actinomycetes; Actinomycetales.